GACGAACGCUGGCGGCGUGCCUAAUACAUGCAAGUCGAGCGGACUGAUUAAGAGCUUGCUCUUAUGACGUUAGCGGCGGACGGGUGAGUAACACGUGGGCAACCUGCCCUGUAGAUCGGGAUAACACCGAGAAAUCGGUGCUAAUACCGGGUAAUAUCUGAGAUCACAUGAUCUUAGGUUAAAAGAUGGCUCCGGCUAUCACUACAGGAUGGGCCCGCGGCGCAUUAGCUAGUUGGUAAGGUAAUGGCUUACCAAGGCGACGAUGCGUAGCCGACCUGCGAGGGUGAUCGGCCACACUGGGACUGAGACACGGCCCAGACUCCUACGGGAGGCAGCAGUAGGGAAUCUUCCGCAAUGGACGAAAGUCUGACGGAGCAACGCCGCGUGAGUGAUGAAGGGUUGCGGCUCGUAAAGCUCUGUUGUUAGGGAAGAAACAGUACCGAACGAACUAGGUCGGUACCUUGACGGUACCUAACCAGAAAGCCACGGCUAACUACGUG
RNAcentral lists this ribosomal RNA (500 nucleotides) under uncultured bacterium. Its description in RNAcentral is "partial 16S ribosomal RNA". It matches the Rfam family "Bacterial small subunit ribosomal RNA", at positions 28 to 507 of the family's 1533-position model. The record is from RNAcentral.